UACGGGGGGGGCAAGCGUUGUUCGGAAUUACUGGGCGUAAAGGGCGCGUAGGCGGUUUGCUAAGUUGGAUGUGAAAACUCUGGGCUUAACCCAGAGCCUGCAUCCAAAACUGGCAAACUUGAGUACUGGAGGGGAAAGCGGAAUUCCUGGUGUAGCGGUGAAAUGCGUAGAUAUCGGGAGGAACACCAGUGGCGAAGGCGACUACCUGGCCUGUUCUUGACGCUGAGGCGCGAAAGCUAGGGGAGCAAACGGG
Molecule: ribosomal RNA, 253 nt
Filed under: uncultured bacterium
Lineage: Bacteria
Description: partial 16S ribosomal RNA
Rfam family: Bacterial small subunit ribosomal RNA
Source: RNAcentral